RNAcentral lists this ribosomal RNA (559 nucleotides) under uncultured bacterium. RNAcentral's name for it is "partial 16S ribosomal RNA". It matches the Rfam family "Bacterial small subunit ribosomal RNA", at positions 355 to 907 of the family's 1533-position model. The record is from RNAcentral.
UGGGGAAUUUUGGACAAUGGGCGCAAGCCUGAUCCAGCCAUGCCGCGUGCGGGAAGAAGGCCUUCGGGUUGUAAACCGCUUUUGUCAGGGAAGAAAUCUUCUGAGUUAAUACCUCGGGAGGAUGACGGUACCUGAAGAAUAAGCACCGGCUAACUACGUGCCAGCAGCCGCGGUAAUACGUAGGGUGCAAGCGUUAAUCGGAAUUACUGGGCGUAAAGCGUGCGCAGGCGGUUUUGUAAGACAGAGGUGAAAUCCCCGGGCUCAACCUGGGAACUGCCUUUGUGACUGCAAGGCUUGAGUGCGGCAGAGGGGGAUGGAAUUCCGCGUGUAGCAGUGAAAUGCGUAGAUAUGCGGAGGAACACCGAUGGCGAAGGCAAUCCCCUGGGCCUGCACUGACGCUCAUGCACGAAAGCGUGGGGAGCAAACAGGAUUAGAUACCCUGGUAGUCCACGCCCUAAACGAUGUCAACUGGUUGUUGGGAAGGUUCCUUCUCAGUAACGUAGCUAACGCGUGAAGUUGACCGCCUGGGGAGUACGGCCGCAAGGUUGAAACUCAAAUG